UGGAAGAAUGCUAGCCUGUGAUAGCCCCAGG
Molecule: non-coding RNA, 31 nt
Filed under: Rattus norvegicus (Norway rat)
Lineage: Eukaryota; Metazoa; Chordata; Mammalia; Rodentia; Muridae
Source: RNAcentral